Gopherus agassizii (Agassiz's desert tortoise) is the source of this 3394-nucleotide long non-coding RNA. The record is from Ensembl. NCBI's taxonomy places the organism in Eukaryota, Metazoa, Chordata, Testudines, Testudinidae.
GGGGGGUAGGUAUUAGGAACAGCUGCUCCAGUCUCCGCUUGCUGCAGCCAGCGCACAACAGGCAGCAACAGCGCACAGAGCAUCAGGAUCCAGCCAGCAUGGAUAAAACUUUCGCCCAGUACAGCUCCGGGUGGCUCUUCCUGACAGCUGUGGCGCUCUGCUUAUGGGGUGCCAAAGGCAAGGUAUAUUAUUCCUGUGGUGCAGAUUUGGAAUCCAUGGAAAGAGGUCUUAUUUUAUCACCAGGCUUUCCAAAUAACUACUAUCCAGGGACACACUGUGUUUGGCAGUUUUUCAUUCCUGUUAGAACCCAUCUUAUCCUGGAAAUUCUUGACUUUGAUGUAUUUGAGAGCUCAAAUGAAACUCCAGACCCUUGGGAUGGCUUUUCUUCUUCUAAAAGAAAAAAUAAGGAGAUGUUUCCUACUGAAGAAAACUCUGACCUUCCCAUCACUCUUGCUACUACAAAAUCCUCUGUUCUGGCUGGGAUGUCAAAGGCGAUCCAGAAACAUAGCAGCCCAGGAGCUCGGUCAAAGGGUCUUGCUGGCCGCUAUGAUGGAUUCCCAGUAACUACCUCCAAAAAAGAAGAAUACAAACAAACAUCUGAAGAAAAACAGUUAAGACAGAUGGAACAACCCAAAGAAAUAUCUAAGGCUCAGCCAGAUGGACUGCCAUUCACUGUGGCUGGCAAUAUCACUACGCAGCAGCAAAAUAUCAGUGGCCUAGAGAUGAACAGAGAUUUGAAAGGGAAAGUCCUGCUUGCUCAUCUCACUGCUAGAAGGAGAGAUGAGGUCAUGGGAGAGAGUCAGACUCUCUCCACAACAGCCUUACCAAGAGGAAACUCCACCACCCAGCAGUCUUCAGCGGAUGUGUGUCCCCAUGAUGUCUUGUAUGUUUCUGACCUCAUCACAUUUUCCUCUCGCUUCUGUGGGACAAACUUGCCUUUAAACAAGACCAUGAUUUUCAGUUCAUCUCUGGAGAUGGUGGAGGUUAUUAUGGAGCUGAUCACGACCACGGAUCGUGGGAGGGGCUUUGCAAUGCUCUUUGAAUACAAGAACAUCACGGAACCUAAUGUCAUGGAUGUGGUGAGGCAGGAUGGAAAGGAAGACACAAUGAUGCUGGCAAUAAUAACUGGAAUUGUCCUCUUUGCACUUGUUCUUCUGUCUACCCUCUGCAUAACUUGCAGGCAGAAAAUGUGCCCCAAAAGGAACCCUUCCAGUGCACACAGUGACCAGGAGAAUGGGAUCCAGAACUCCGCCAUAGAUAUCAAUGAGCUCCAACUUGUGGUGCCAACUCGAGAGAAUGAAAACAACAAUCACACUGUCAGCGGGGACCAAGCUGUCACUUCCUCUGGAGGCUGCACAGAACACUCUUCUCGGCAUACUGACCCAGAUAUGCCCUCUUCUAUGUCUGCCGUGACCACUGAAACGGGGAGCGAUGAAGUAUUUAUUAUUUCAGCUGGCCCUGGUGCCAGCGGGUUGAGUUUUACCACAUACAAAAUACAGGACAAAAACCUAAAGAGAAGUGUCACAAGUCCAGCUUCUGUGUCAGACUGGCUGACUUCUGAUCAUAUGGCUCCAGGAGCAGGUACUGUGGAUAAAGGGAACACACAGGCAGAGAACCAUCAUCCAAGGCAACGGACAUGGAGCGCCCGCACAUUUCAUGACUUACUGACUCCGUUACCUCAGUUACAGAAAAAAUGGUAUAGCUGGACCACUAACAGCCCCUUCACUAAACUGGUAGACAGCAGUGGUCUUUCUACAUCCACAAGAAACCAGAGUGUAACAACCAGAAAAGUAAUUUCAGCCACUGAGAUAGAGGGAAUCUCAGAUAUUGUUUAUUCUGACUCGUCCACCCGCACUGCAUCAUACCCACAAACCCAAUCUGCACAAAGGCAGGGGAAACUGAGCUCCUCCAGCUUGAAGAAAUCCAGGUUUGGGAACCCUUACUUUGGGUUUUUAACCAGCUCCCCUGAUUGCAAAGAGGUGAGGCCCUUGGAUCCCUCGAGGCACGUGGGGGUGACACCUCCACUUGAUAACCAAAGCCAUGGCCUCCCUGGUCUCAAAAGCAACUUAAUCAACUGUUCAAAAACCAAGGAGCUCUCAACAGAAAUGGACAAAUCCAAACCAGCUUUUGUUAUUUCUGAAGAAGGGGAUGACCAGCAGCCUCUGGUCCUCGCAGAGCACUUUAGUCAGUGUAGAGAUACUCUGUCUGAGCAAAAUGUUGUAUAUGCUUCAGUGAAGGCUAUACCUGAUAAACCACCAGUGGUCUUGAGUGUUCAGGGAGACAGCUCAGGCAGGCCUCCCAAUUUCACGUUGGAUCUCCCCAUUUGGGAAAAGUUUCCCAAUUUAUAUGGCAAUCACAUGAAGACCGAUAGCUCUUCCAACGGCCAGUGCAGCUUGCCUAGCGCAGAUACCAAUACAAUUGAGUCACCAUGGAAUUUUGAUUCCUUAACUGCUCAUACACUCUGUCAAACAUCGGUUCAAUGAGGCUUCCAGAGCGACUAAAGGAAUCUGUCUGUGAGAACAGAUGCAAUAAGGACCAUAGCUGUUCACUUUUCUGCUGGAGAAGAAGCUGCUGUGCCUAUGGAGGGUAGCAAGUGUGGACAGAGACAACUUUUUUUUCUUCCCAUCAGCAGAUUGGAGUUAUGGGAAAAGGUAACCUAGCAAAGCACAAAACAAAGUCAUCUUUUCUCAUGAUCAGCUGGGCCUAAUAAUGUGCACGACAUGAUCUUGUUCUCAGUUCCAUUCUCCCACAUGAAAUUUUAAUUGUGGCUUAUGGAAGAGAGUGAUAAAGUGAUUCCUCUAAAAAGGUGUCUAAUACUGAGUAACUGUGUUCUGGUACACUACAGGAAAACAAAUGAUCUGAGUGAUUACUUAUGGCACAUGGUGGGGAAUGCAGACCAGUCCUCAGGGUCACUGUGGUGUCACCUUACUCUUUGCUACAUGUUAUGAACCAAAUUCUGCUCUCAGGCACACUUGCAUAAUCCCUACUGAUGUCAACUGAAGUUGCCUCCAGCUAUCCAAGAGUAGAAUUUGGACUUGCAUGUUUAUGUAUACUAUAUAUAAAGUAAAAUGUUUUAAAUAGUUGGUAACCUCUCCAAUUUAGUACAGUCUUGUUCAUAUCAGUCUUUGCUGUUUCCUUAGCAUUAAAGGGCACAUGUAGACCUUAGUCUAACAGUUUAGAGUGGUAAAAGCACAAUACAAAAGCGCACUCAGUCUGAUGCUAUCAAAAUAAUUAAUACUAAUUUCCAGUAUUAACCCUGUUAAAAUUUCUACACUGUUGGCUAGCACUGUGUAGGUCUGAAGAAUUAAGGGAGCACCCCUCAUGGCAAUAGGAGGAUGUAUACAAAAAAUACUAUUCACUAGCAAUAAAGUCUUUCAGCAUCCUGAUGCUUGCA